UCCAAAGCGGUCGCAUUUCAAUUAGUUCGUGCACUUAUGAGUCUUUAGUCGCCAUCUUGUUUGAGGGCGAAAUGCGAUCUCUAUAUGUACAUCAAGAGUCUCUCACAUAGAGACAUCAUAAUUAUUACAACAAGAUGGCGACUAAAGACUCAUAAGUGCACGAACUAAUUGAAAUGCGACCGCUUUGGA
Pelobates cultripes (western spadefoot toad) is the source of this 189-nucleotide non-coding RNA. NCBI's taxonomy places the organism in Eukaryota, Metazoa, Chordata, Amphibia, Anura, Pelobatidae. The record is from the annotation of a GenBank genome assembly.